This 968-nucleotide ribosomal RNA is filed under the name uncultured bacterium CA1-191. RNAcentral's name for it is "bacterial SSU rRNA". It matches the Rfam family "Bacterial small subunit ribosomal RNA", at positions 523 to 1482 of the family's 1533-position model. The record is from RNAcentral.
AUGCGUAGGGUACAAACGUUAUCCAGAUUUACUGGGCGUAUAGAGAUGCGUAGGCGGUUUGAUAAGUCUUAAGUUAAAGACCUCGGCUCAACCGAGGAAAAGCUUUAGAAACUAUCAGACUUGAGACAUGAAGGGGUGAACGGAAUUCCGAGUGGAGUGGUGAAAUACGUUGAUAUUCGGAGGAACAUCAGUGGCGAAGGCGGUUCACUGGUCAUUGUCUGACGCUAAGGCUCGAAAGCGUGGGUAGCAAAACGGAUUAGAUACCCGUGUAGUCCACGCCGUAAACUAUGGAUGCUAGGUGCUUGGUACAACUAUUUUAAAUCUUCGGAUUCUAGAUGGAAGUACUAAGUGCCGCAGUUAACGCGUUAAGCAUCCCGCCUGGGAAGUACGGCCGCAAGGCUAAAACUCAAAUGAAUUGGCGGGGACCCGCACAAGCGGAGGAGCGCGUGGUUUAAUUCGAUGGCAAUCGAAGAACCUUACCAGGGUUUGACAUGUAUCUGCAUUCUCCCCGAAAAGGGAGAAGCCUUCGAGGGUGAUACACAGGUACUGCAUGGCCGUCGUCAGCUCGUGUCGUGAGAUGUAGGGUUAAGUCCCGAAACGAGCGCAACCCCUAUCCCAUGUUACAAGUGUCUUGGGAAACUGCCUCGGUAAAACGGGGAGGAAGGUGGGGAUGAUGUCUGGUCCGCAUAGUCCUUAUGUCCUGGGCUACACACGCGCUACAAUGGUCGGUACAAUGGGCAGCCAAGUCGUAAGACGGAGCUAAUCCUCAAAACCGAUCUCAGUUCGGAUUGAGGUCUGAAACUCGACCUCAUGAAGUUGGAUUUGCUAGUAACCGUAGAUCAGCAAUGCUACGGUGAAUACGUUCUCGGGUCUUGCACACACCGCCCGUCAAGCCAUGGAAGUAGGUGAUACCCGAAGGUGUCCUGCCGUUAGGUGGGAUGACGAAGGUAACGCUUAUAACUGGGGUU